This is a non-coding RNA of Triticum urartu, 515 nucleotides long. The record is from RefSeq and is a predicted model, not a curated record. NCBI's taxonomy places the organism in Eukaryota, Viridiplantae, Streptophyta, Magnoliopsida, Poales, Poaceae.
UGUCUCGACCGCACGCUAGGUUAUCCCCGCCCGUCCCCGGCUCGACCGCGCCGCCGCCACCGCCCGUCCCCGGCUCCACCGCGCCGCCAUCGCCCGUCUCCACCUCCACCGCGCCGCCGCAGCUGGUCCCCGCCUCCACCGCGCCGCCGUCGGGACCCUUGUCCACUGCGCCCCCCACCCGUCCUCCUCCAAUGGCGCGACCGCCACCGGGCCGUCCUCCCCUGCCCUAGCGGCACGGCUGCCGUGGGCAGCACCGCCGCCGGCUCCCUCCUACGCAUCCGCCGCCGCUGGUUACCACCGAAGCGGGGCACCACCUCCCCCUCUGCCCCACCCCACGGGAUUUUCUCUUCACCUCGAGGAGCAUUGUCCGUCCCGUUGCCAUUGCCAUCAUUGUUCGACUACCGCCUCUACGGUCUCGGGGAUUUCUAUAGAUGCGGGGAUGGAAAGUUGGAGGAGGCAUGAGCAGUUGUCAACAAACAUUGCCCGAAGCUUAUGCAUAAUCUGAUGCAUGAGGC